This is a small nucleolar RNA of Callithrix jacchus (white-tufted-ear marmoset), 110 nucleotides long. Its record names the gene U3. It matches the Rfam family "Small nucleolar RNA U3". From Rfam's summary of the family: Small nucleolar RNAs (snoRNAs) are involved in the processing and modification of rRNA in the nucleolus. The record is from Ensembl. Lineage: Eukaryota; Metazoa; Chordata; Mammalia; Primates; Cebidae.
AAGACUAUACUUUCAGGGAUCAUUUCUACAGUUUGUUACUAGAGAUGUUUCUCUGAGAGUGUAAAUAGAGAGUGACAAGUGGGGGGAAUUUGGGUGGAAGUGCAUCCUGA